This 684-nucleotide ribosomal RNA is filed under the name Nocardia otitidiscaviarum. Its description in RNAcentral is "partial 16S ribosomal RNA". It matches the Rfam family "Bacterial small subunit ribosomal RNA", at positions 822 to 1488 of the family's 1533-position model. The record is from RNAcentral. Lineage: Bacteria; Bacillati; Actinomycetota; Actinomycetes; Mycobacteriales; Nocardiaceae.
GUGGGUUUCCUUCCACGGGAUCCGGGCCGUAGCUAACGCAUUAAGUACCCCGCCUGGGGAGUACGGCCGCAAGGCUAAAACUCAAAGGAAUUGACGGGGGCCCGCACAAGCGGCGGAGCAUGUGGAUUAAUUCGAUGCAACGCAAAGAACCUUACCUGGGUUUGACAUACACCGGAAAGCCGUAAAGAUACGGCCCCCCUUGUGGUCGGUGUACAGGUGGUGCAUGGCUGUCGUCAGCUCGUGUCGUGAAAUGUUGGGUUAAGCCCCGCAACGAGCGCAACCCUUAUCUUAUGUUGCCAGCGCGUAAUGGCGGGGACUCGUGAGAGACUGCCGGGGUCAACUCGGAGGAAGGGGGGGACGACGUCAAGUCAUCAUGCCCCUUAUGUCCAGGGCUUCACACAUGCUACAAUGGCCGGUACAGAGGGCGGCGAUACCGCGAGGGGGAGCAAAUCCCUUAAAGCCGGUCUCAGUUCGGAUGGGGGUCUGCACCCUCCACCCCGGGGAAGUGGGAUUCCCCUAGAAAAUCCCCAAAAUCAAAAAACGGCUGGGGGGGAAAUACCUUCCCGGGCCUGGUACCCCCCCCCCGCCACGAUAUGGAAAAGUGGGUUACACCCCAAAACCGGGGGGCCUCACCCUUCGGGGAAGGAACCCGUCCAAGGGGGGAAUUUGGGAGGAUUGGGAACA